Molecule: ribosomal RNA, 465 nt
Filed under: Vreelandella stevensii
Lineage: Bacteria; Pseudomonadati; Pseudomonadota; Gammaproteobacteria; Oceanospirillales; Halomonadaceae
Description: partial 16S ribosomal RNA
Rfam family: Bacterial small subunit ribosomal RNA
Source: RNAcentral
CCUACGGGGGGCAGCAGUGGGGAAUAUUGGACAAUGGGGGCAACCCUGAUCCAGCCAUGCAGCGUGUGUGAAGAAGGCCCUCGGGUUGUAAAGCACUUUCAGUGAGGAAGAACGCCUGGUGGUUAAUACCCAUCAGGAAAGACAUCACUCACAGAAGAAGCACCGGCUAACUCCGUGCCAGCAGCCGCGGUAAUACGGAGGGUGCGAGCGUUAAUCGGAAUUACUGGGCGUAAAGCGCGCGUAGGUGGCUUGAUAAGCCGGUUGUGAAAGCCCCGGGCUCAACCUGGGAACGGCAUCCGGAACUGUCAAGCUAGAGUGCAGGAGAGGAAGGUAGAAUUCCCGGUGUAGCGGUGAAAUGCGUAGAGAUCGGGAGGAAUACCAGUGGCGAAGGCGGCCUUCUGGACUGACACUGACACUGAGGUGCGAAAGCGUGGGUAGCAAACAGGAUUAGAUACCCGAGUAGUC